CCUACGGGUGACAGCAGUGGGGAAUAUUGCACAAUGGGGGAAACCCUGAUGCAGCGACGCCGCGUGAGUGAAGCAGUCUUUCGGUAUGUAAAACUCUGUCAGCAGGGAAGAAAAUGACGGUACCUGACCCAGAAGCCCCGGCUAACUACGUGCCAGCAGCCGCGGUAAUACGUAGGGGGCAAGCGUUAUCCGGAUUUACUGGGUGUAAAGGGAGCGUAGACGGCAGGACAAGUCUGGAGUGAAAGGGGGUGGCUGAACCGCCGGACUGCUCCGGAAACUGGCCGGCUGGAGUGCAGGAGAGGGAAGGGGAAAUACUAGGGGAGGGGGGAAAUGCGG
This 336-nucleotide ribosomal RNA is filed under the name uncultured bacterium. RNAcentral describes it as "partial 16S ribosomal RNA". It matches the Rfam family "Bacterial small subunit ribosomal RNA", at positions 338 to 691 of the family's 1533-position model. The record is from RNAcentral.